GUCUGUGGCCAUAUCACCCUAAAUGCUCUGAUGUUGUCUGAUGUCCUUAAAGCUAAGCAGGCUCAGGCCUGGUUGAUCCUUGGAUGGGAGACCACCUGGGAAUAUGGGGUGCUGUAGGCU
This is a ribosomal RNA of Prolemur simus (greater bamboo lemur), 120 nucleotides long. The record is from Ensembl. NCBI's taxonomy places the organism in Eukaryota, Metazoa, Chordata, Mammalia, Primates, Lemuridae.